This 497-nucleotide ribosomal RNA is filed under the name uncultured bacterium. RNAcentral describes it as "partial 16S ribosomal RNA". It matches the Rfam family "Bacterial small subunit ribosomal RNA", at positions 28 to 507 of the family's 1533-position model. The record is from RNAcentral.
GAUGAACGCUGGCGGCGUGCCUAAUACAUGCAAGUCGAGCGAACGGACGAGAAGCUUGCUUCUCUGAUGUUAGCGGCGGACGGGUGAGUAACACGUGGAUAACCUACCUAUAAGACUGGGAUAACUUCGGGAAACCGGAGCUAAUACCGGAUAAUAUUUUGAACCGCAUGGUUCAAAAGUGAAAGACGGUCUUGCUGUCACUUAUAGAUGGAUCCGCGCUGCAUUAGCUAGUUGGUAAGGUAACGGCUUACCAAGGCAACGAUGCAUAGCCGACCUGAGAGGGUGAUCGGCCACACUGGAACUGAGACACGGUCCAGACUCCUACGGGAGGCAGCGGUAGGGAAUCUUCCGCAAUUGGCGAAAGCCUGACGGAGCAACGCCGCGUGAGUGAUGAAGGUCUUCGGAUCGUAAAACUCUGUUAUUAGGGAAGAACAUAUGUGUAAGUAACUGUGCACAUCUUGACGGUACCUAACCAGAAAGCCACGGCUAACUACGUG